This 463-nucleotide ribosomal RNA is filed under the name Lodderomyces parapsilosis. Its description in RNAcentral is "eukaryotic LSU rRNA". It matches the Rfam family "Eukaryotic large subunit ribosomal RNA", at positions 151 to 628 of the family's 3401-position model. The record is from RNAcentral. Lineage: Eukaryota; Fungi; Ascomycota; Pichiomycetes; Serinales; Debaryomycetaceae.
CGAAGAAGGUAUCUUUGGCGUCCGGCUCUUGGACUUAUGCACUUGGAACAGAACGUCACAGAGGGUGAGAAUCCCGUGCGAUGAGAUGUCCCAGACCUAUGUAAAGUUCCUUCGAAGAGUCGAGUUGUGGGAAUGCAGCUCUAAGUGGGUGGUAAAUCCAUCUAAAGCUAAAUAUUGGCGAGAGACCGAUAGCGAACAAGUACAGUGAUGGAAAGAUGAAAAGAACUUUGAAAAGAGAGUGAAAAAGUACGUGAAAUUGUUGAAAGGGAAGGGCUUGAGAUCAGACUUGGUAUUUUGUAUGUUACUCUCUCGGGGGUGGCCUCUACAGUUUACCGGGCCAGCAUCAGUUUGAGCGGUAGGAUAAGUGCAAAGAAAUGUGGCACUGCUUCGGUAGUGUGUUAUAGUCUUUGUCGAUACCUUGCCAGCUUUAGACUUGAGGACUGCGGCUUCGGCCUAGAUGUUG